This 496-nucleotide ribosomal RNA is filed under the name uncultured Alphaproteobacteria bacterium. RNAcentral describes it as "bacterial SSU rRNA". It matches the Rfam family "Bacterial small subunit ribosomal RNA", at positions 1 to 478 of the family's 1533-position model. Lineage: Bacteria; Pseudomonadati; Pseudomonadota; Alphaproteobacteria. The record is from RNAcentral.
UUGGGAGCUCUCCCAUAUGGUCGACCUGCAGGCGGCCGCGAAUUCACUAGUGAUUAGAGUUUGAUCAUGGCUCAGAACGAACGCUUUCGGUAUGCUUAACACAUGCAAGUCGAACGGAUUUAUUUAGAGCUUGCUUUAAAUAAAUUAGUGGCAGACGGGUGAGUAACACGUGGGAAUCUGCCCAUCAGUACGGAAUAACAUUUAGAAAUAAUUGCUAAUACCGUAUAUUCUCUUUGGAGGAAAGAUUUAUCGCUGAUGGAUGAGCCCGCGCCAGAUUAGGUAGUUGGUAGGGUAAUGGCCUACCAAGCCAAUGAUCUGUAGCUGGUUUGAGAGAAUGAUCAGCCACACUGGGACUGAGACACGGCCCAGACUCCUACGGGAGGCAGCAGUGGGGAAUAUUGGACAAUGGGCGAAAGCCUGAUCCAGCAAUACCGAGUGGGUGAUGAAGGCCUUAGGGUUGUAAAGCCCUUUUCAGCAGGGAAGAUAAUGACGGUAC